GUCUAAAACGAGUUUACCACUUAUUGGCUACAAGAGCAGGAGCUCAGAAUCUUUGAGAGCCCCACAUCCGUCUGUAUCAAGCUGGAGGAGACGUACUUAGUGCUGGGGCAGCUGUUGUGUGCUCACUAGGAGGCCAUGCUCCAGGGGAGGAGAGACCCCUGUCUGACCUGUAACAAAAAGCACCAGAGGUCUUGGUUCCUGCCCACGCGACCACCUGCUGAGAAACACAGGCAGUUUGGGGAAACUGGGUGGUCUCCUCCCAACAACCACAACCCGCAGACGCCUGGUCUACCAUGGAUCACGCCUGCGGCUCAGGACAAAGGGGCGUUCUCACCAGGCAGGAGUCUUCACGGCCAAGCGAGGCGAGUGGAAGUGUCAGAUCUGCAGGUGCCACGCGCACUGUCCUCAAUACCCCUCCAGCAAGGAGACACAGCCACAGUAGUACAGCCACGACCCUGCUGUUCCUCCAUGGAGGAUCACAGACCCAAUUGGGAGCAGAAAUAUCAGUCACACGAGCAGAUCUCACUCAUCCGGGGAGGUCCUGGACGAUGCCAGAAUCUGGGCUCCAGAUGGGCAGACGCUGGAACCGCUGGAGAGACGCGAUCCCGGCCCCGCCCCUCGGGCGGGCGGCUGAGUGCCCCCUGCACUCCUGGGUCUCUCCUCCGUGCUGGGUUAGCCCCGUGUACCCGGGGAUGGGGAGAGGUGGCCGGGACAAGGAAGAGCCUUUUAGAGAGAGGGAGAGAAGCAGCCCUGCGGUCUGGGGCCUUGAAGUGGUCUUUACUUAACAUGGCCAAGAUUCCUAGGUUCAGGUCAGUGGGAAAUCUAGCCUGGAAUCUGGGAUUUUUUUGUUUGUUUUUCAGAUUCCCCCAAAUAUCUUACGUGGUCAAAACAAGUUGGCUUUUAUGA
RNAcentral lists this long non-coding RNA (906 nucleotides) under Oryctolagus cuniculus (rabbit). RNAcentral describes it as "lncRNA (ENSOCUG00000030831.1)". Lineage: Eukaryota; Metazoa; Chordata; Mammalia; Lagomorpha; Leporidae. The record is from RNAcentral.